This 495-nucleotide ribosomal RNA is filed under the name uncultured bacterium. RNAcentral's name for it is "partial 16S ribosomal RNA". It matches the Rfam family "Bacterial small subunit ribosomal RNA", at positions 28 to 507 of the family's 1533-position model. The record is from RNAcentral.
GAUGAACGCUGGCGGCGUGCCUAAUACAUGCAAGUCGAACGCUGAAGGAGGAGCUUGCUCUUCUGGAUGAUUUGCGCACGGGUGAGUAACGCGUAGGUAACCCGCCUGUUAGCGGGUGAUAACUCUUGGAAACGAUAGCUAAUACCGCAUGACAACAGUUAAUGCAUGAUGACUGUUUAAAAGAGGCAACUGCUCCACUACCAAAUGGUCCUGCGUUGUAUUAUCUAGUUGGUGAGGUAAUGGCUCAACAAGGCGACGAUACAUAGCCGACCUGAGAAGGGGAUCGGCCACACUGGGACUGAGAAACGGCCCAGAAUUCUACGGGAGGGAGCCGUAGGGGAUCUUCGGCAAAGGACGGAAGUCUGACCGGGCAACGCCGGGGGAGUGAAGGAGGGUUUCGGAUCGUAAAGCUCUGGUGUAAGGGAAGAACGAGUGUGGGAGUGGAAAGUUCACACUGUGACGGUACCUUACCAGAAAGGGACGGCUAACUACGUG